This 225-nucleotide ribosomal RNA is filed under the name uncultured bacterium. RNAcentral's name for it is "partial 16S ribosomal RNA". The record is from RNAcentral.
CUGCUGCCUUCCGUAGGAGUCUGGGCCGUGUCUCAGUCCCAAUGUGGCCGGUCACUCUCUCAAGCCGGCUACUGAUCGUUGCUUUGGUAGGCCAUUACCCUGCCAACUGGCUAAUCAGACGCGGGGCCAUCGUAUGCCGAUAAAUCUUUUCACACCAUGCCAUGCAGCAUUGUGUGCUUAUGCGGUAUUAGCAGUCAUUUCUGACUGUUGUCCCCCUGCAUACGG